Molecule: ribosomal RNA, 192 nt
Filed under: uncultured bacterium
Lineage: Bacteria
Description: partial 16S ribosomal RNA
Rfam family: Bacterial small subunit ribosomal RNA
Source: RNAcentral
CUCGCCUGCAUGAAGCUGGAAUUGCUAGUAAUCGCGGAUCAGCAUGCCGCGGUGAAUACGUUCCCGGGCCUUGUACACACCGCCCGUCAUACCAUGAGAGUCGGGAACACCCGAAGUCCGUAGUCUAACCCGCAAGGGAGGGCGCGGCCGAAGGUGGGUCCGGUAAUUGGGGUGAAGUCGUAACAAGGUAUC